GACAGGUGCAAAAAAAUUCCUCAUUUGCAACCUAGAACUCAUUGUUCACUAUGAGUUUUGAUACAUAUAAGAAGGAGUAUU
This 81-nucleotide small nucleolar RNA is filed under the name Propithecus coquereli (Coquerel's sifaka). RNAcentral describes it as "Small nucleolar RNA SNORA40 (ENSPCOG00000007404.1)". It matches the Rfam family "Small nucleolar RNA SNORA40", at positions 46 to 128 of the family's 128-position model. Rfam says of the family: The snoRNA ACA 40 belongs to the H/ACA family of snoRNAs and guides the pseudouridylation of 28S rRNA subunit at position U4565. Lineage: Eukaryota; Metazoa; Chordata; Mammalia; Primates; Indriidae. The record is from RNAcentral.